AGAGUUUGAUCAUGGCUCAGAAUCAACGCUGGCGGCGUGCCUAACACAUGCAAGUCGAGCGAGAGGAAGUAGCAAUACUUUAGUAAAGCGGCGCACGGGUGAGUAACACGUGGAUAACCUGCCUCGAAGUGGGGAAUAACCCCGGGAAACCGGAGCUAAUACCGCAUAAUCUGACGAGAUCUGUGGAUUUUGUCAGCAAAGGAGCAAUUCGCUUUGAGAGGGGUCCGCGGCUGAUUAGCUAGUUGGUGAGGUAAUGGCUCACCAAGGCCACGAUCAGUAGCCGGUCUGAGAGGACGGUCGGCCACACUGGAACUGAGACACGGUCCAGACUCCUACGGGAGGCAGCAGUGGGGAAUUUUUCGCAAUGGGGGCAACCCUGACGAAGCAACGCCGCGUGGGUGAUGAAGUAUUUCGGUACGUAAAACCCUUUCGACGGGGACGAAAGCCGCAAGGUUUGACGGUACCCGUAGAAGAAGCCCCGGCUAACUCCGUGCCAGCAGCCGCGGUAAUACGGGGGGGGCAAGCGUUGUUCGGAAUUACUGGGCGUAAAGGGCGCGUAGGCGGUUUGCUAAGUUGGAUGUGAAAACUCUGGGCUUAACCCAGAGCCUGCAUCCAAAACUGGCAAACUUGAGUACUGGAGGGGAAAGCGGAAUUCCUGGUGUAGCGGUGAAAUGCGUAGAUAUCAGGAGGAACACCGGUGGCGAAGGCGGCUUUCUGGACAGUAACUGACGCUGAGGCGCGAAAGCUAGGGGAGCAAACAGGAUUAGAUACCCUGGUAGUCCUAGCCCUAAACGAUGGAUACUUGGUGUGAGGGGGAUUGAAUCCCUUCGUGCCGUAGCUAACGCAAUAAGUAUCCCGCCUGGGGAGUACGGUCGCAAGGCUGAAACUCAAAUGAAUUGACGGGG
This 905-nucleotide ribosomal RNA is filed under the name uncultured Acidobacteriota bacterium. RNAcentral describes it as "bacterial SSU rRNA". It matches the Rfam family "Bacterial small subunit ribosomal RNA", at positions 8 to 918 of the family's 1533-position model. Lineage: Bacteria; Pseudomonadati; Acidobacteriota. The record is from RNAcentral.